This is a non-coding RNA of Podarcis lilfordi (Lilford's wall lizard), 69 nucleotides long. The record is from the annotation of a GenBank genome assembly. Lineage: Eukaryota; Metazoa; Chordata; Lepidosauria; Squamata; Lacertidae.
GCCGUAGUUUAGCAGGAGAGCAGCUGCUUUGCAUGCAGAAGGUCCCAGGUUCAUUCCCCGGCAUCUCCA